Molecule: ribosomal RNA, 399 nt
Filed under: uncultured bacterium
Lineage: Bacteria
Description: bacterial SSU rRNA
Rfam family: Bacterial small subunit ribosomal RNA
Source: RNAcentral
GGAAUAUUGGACAAUGGGCGCAAGCCUGAUCCAGCCAUGCCGCGUGAGUGAUGAAGGCCCUAGGGUUGUAAAGCUCUUUCACCGGUGAAGAUAAUGACGGUAACCGGAGAAGAAGCCCCGGCUAACUUCGUGCCAGCAGCCGCGGUAAUACGAAGGGGGCUAGCGUUGUUCGGAAUUACUGGGCGUAAAGCGCACGUAGGCGGAUAUUUAAGUCAGGGGUGAAAUCCCAGAGCUCAACUCUGGAACUGCCUUUGAUACUGGGUAUCUUGAGUAUGGAAGAGGUAAGUGGAAUUCCGAGUGUAGAGGUGAAAUUCGUAGAUAUUCGGAGGAACACCAGUGGCGAAGGCGGCUUACUGGUCCAUUACUGACGCUGAGGUGCGAAAGCGUGGGGAGCAAACA